GGAUCAGAUGUCAUAUACCAAUAUGAAGAUGAGGGCCUGGUAAUUGAGUGAUCUCCAUAAGACUCCAAAGUAGGAGCCCUCAAAUGGUGAUCCACACGGGACUGAUCAGGAUCCUUCCCAAUUCAACGUAGUGCUGCAGCCAUCUUCGCAAGUUCACUGUCGAUUGUUCUUCACAAGAACAUAUUGCACUACUGCUUGUAUGCCUUUGAAUCCUUCAUUAGAACCACACUAGGAACCUUUCCUUAC
RNAcentral lists this long non-coding RNA (246 nucleotides) under Elaeis guineensis (African oil palm). Its description in RNAcentral is "long non-coding RNA (EGUI_LNC082715)". Lineage: Eukaryota; Viridiplantae; Streptophyta; Magnoliopsida; Arecales; Arecaceae. The record is from RNAcentral.